CUGGAAUCGCUAGUAAUCGUGAAUCAGAAUGUCACGGUGAAUACGUUCCCGGGUCUUGUACACACCGCCCGUCACACCAUGGGAGUCAGCAACGCCCGAAGUCAGUGACCUAACCGAGAGGGAGGAGCUGCCGAAGGCGGGGCCGGUAACUGGGGUGAAGUCGUAACAAGGUAAC
Molecule: ribosomal RNA, 175 nt
Filed under: uncultured bacterium
Lineage: Bacteria
Description: partial 16S ribosomal RNA
Rfam family: Bacterial small subunit ribosomal RNA
Source: RNAcentral